This 388-nucleotide long non-coding RNA is filed under the name Mytilus galloprovincialis (Mediterranean mussel). Lineage: Eukaryota; Metazoa; Mollusca; Bivalvia; Mytilida; Mytilidae. The record is from RNAcentral.
AAACCUUCAGCCUUGCUUCCACUGCUUAUGAACUCAUGAUGAAUGUCACUAUAUAUGUCAUCAUAAAGUUUGAAAUACAAUCUUCUGUACCGAACAACGUUUUCAGAUCCAUUUACUUCUUCACACAGAUAUUUGUAGAGUAGAACUGAGUAAGCCUCCAUUUCGCGACUAUUUUGCAUCUUUGUGAAAACCUUUAAGAUACAAACAAUUAUCACAAAUGUUUUAUGAAAAUAAACAUUUAGGCAUAAGCAUCAUAUGUUUUAACAUUCAAUUUCUCUGAAUAUUAAGUUUUUUUUCUCUAUAUCAAAAUAAUAAUCCUCUAAAAUAAUUUGUAGUUUCAAUUCGUCAUUUCUAAAAUGGCGGACAAAUCUUUUCAACGCAACACUUU